This 1428-nucleotide ribosomal RNA is filed under the name uncultured bacterium. RNAcentral's name for it is "16S ribosomal RNA". It matches the Rfam family "Bacterial small subunit ribosomal RNA". The record is from RNAcentral.
AGAGUUUGAUCCUGGCUCAGGACGAACGCUGGCGGCGUGCUUAACACAUGCGAGUCGAACGGUGAAGCGCCUUCCUUUUUGGUGGGUGUGGAUGAGUGGCGAACGGGUGAGUAACACGUGAGUAACCUGCCCCCUUCUUCUGGAUAACCGCAUGAAAGUGUGGCUAAUACGGGAUAUUCUGUGCCUGCUGCAUGGUGGGUGUGGGAAAGAUUGCGCUUUUUUGGUGUUUUUGGUGGGGGAUGGGCUCGCGGCCUAUCAGCUUGUUGGUGGGGUGAUGGCCUACCAAGGCGGUGACGGGUAGCCGGCCUGAGAGGGUGGACGGUCACACUGGGACUGAGACACGGCCCAGACUCCUACGGGAGGCAGCAGUGGGGAAUAUUGCACAAUGGGCGCAAGCCUGAUGCAGCGACGCCGCGUGAGGGAUGGAGGCCUUCGGGUUGUGAACCUCUUUCGCCAGUGAAGCAGGCCUGCUCCUUUUUUGUGGGUGGGUUGACGGUAGCUGGAUAAGAAGCGCCGGCUAACUACGUGCCAGCAGCCGCGGUAAUACGUAGGGCGCGAGCGUUGUCCGGAAUUAUUGGGCGUAAAGAGCUCGUAGGCGGCUGGUCGCGUCUGUCGUGAAAUCCUCUGGCUUAACUGGAGGCUUGCGGUGGGUACGGGCCGGCUUUGAGUGCGGUAGGGGAGACUGGAACUCCUGGUGUAGCGGUGGAAUGCGCAGAUAUCAGGAAGAACACCGGUGGCGAAGGCGGGUCUCUGGGCCGUUACUGACGCUGAGGAGCGAAAGCGUGGGGAGCGAACAGGAUUAGAUACCCUGGUAGUCCACGCCGUAAACGUUGGGCACUAGGUGUGGGGGGCCUUUUCCGGGUUUUCCGCGCCGUAGCUAACGCAUUAAGUGCCCCGCCUGGGGAGUACGGCCGCAAGGCUAAAACUCAAAGGAAUUGACGGGGGCCCGCACAAGCGGCGGAGCAUGCGGAUUAAUUCGAUGCAACGCGAAGAACCUUACCAAGGCUUGACAUGUGCCGGUCGGCUCCGGAGACGGGGUUUCCUCCUUGUGGGGCCGGUUCACAGGUGGUGCAUGGUUGUCGUCAGCUCGUGUCGUGAGAUGUUGGGUUAAGUCCCGCAACGAGCGCAACCCUUGUCUCGUGUUGCCAGCACGUUGUGGUGGGGACUCGCGGGAGACUGCCGGGGUCAACUCGGAGGAAGGUGGGGAUGACGUCAAAUCAUCAUGCCCCUUAUGUCUUGGGCUUCACGCAUGCUACAAUGGCCGGUACAGAGGGCUGCGAUACCGUGAGGUGGAGCGAAUCCCUUAAAGCCGGUCUCAGUUCGGAUCGGUGUCUGCAACUCGACACCGUGAAGUUGGAGUCGCUAGUAAUCGCAGAUCAGCAACGCUGCGGUGAAUACGUUCUCGGGCCUUGCACACACCGCCCGUCA